RNAcentral lists this ribosomal RNA (377 nucleotides) under uncultured bacterium. Its description in RNAcentral is "bacterial SSU rRNA". It matches the Rfam family "Bacterial small subunit ribosomal RNA", at positions 29 to 410 of the family's 1533-position model. The record is from RNAcentral.
AUUGAACGCUGGCGGCAUGCUUUACACAUGCAAGUCGAACGGUAACAGGCCGCAAGGUGCUGACGAGUGGCGAACGGGUGAGUAAUGCAUCGGAACGUGCCCAGUCGUGGGGGAUAACGCAGCGAAAGCUGCGCUAAUACCGCAUACGAUCUAUGGAUGAAAGCGGGGGACCGUAAGGCCUCGCGCGAUUGGAGCGGCCGAUGUCAGAUUAGGUGGUUGGUGGGGUAAAGGCUCACCAAGCCAACGAUCUGUAGCUGGUCUGAGAGGACGACCAGCCACACUGGGACUGAGACACGGCCCAGACUCCUACGGAGGCAGCAGUGGGGAAUUUUGGACAAUGGGCGCAAGCCUGAUCCAGCAAUGCCGCGUGCAGGAAG